UUAAAUAAUCGAUCUUAAAAGUACUUUUAAGAUCGGUUAAACUUUAACCGAUCUUAAAAGUGCUACUUUUAAAAUCGGUUAUUUAA
RNAcentral lists this microRNA precursor (86 nucleotides) under Cajanus cajan (pigeon pea). RNAcentral's name for it is "miRNA gene-KK1_041667". Lineage: Eukaryota; Viridiplantae; Streptophyta; Magnoliopsida; Fabales; Fabaceae. The record is from RNAcentral.